UCUUGGUCAUUUAGAGGAAGUAAAAGUCGUAACAAGGUCUCCGUUGGUGAACCAGCGGAGGGAUCAUUAUCGAGUUAUUCAACUCCCAAACCCUAUGUGAACUUACCACUUGUUGCUUCGGCGCGCGCUUCGGCGCCGCCGAGGACACUUAAACUCUUUGUUUUUAUAAGCAUUUCUGAGUGGCCGAAAAGCAAAAAUACAAAUGAAUCAAAACUUUCAACAACGGAUCUCUUGGUUCUGGCAUCGAUGAAGAACGCAGCGAAAUGCGAUAAGUAAUGUGAAUUGCAGAAUUCAGUGAAUCAUCGAAUCUUUGAACGCACAUUGCGCCCGCCAGCAUUCUGGCGGGCAUGCCUGUUCGAGCGUCAUUUCAACCCUCGAGCCCGACUCUUUUGAGGACGGCUCGGCGUUGGGGGACGGCAGACUCCCCCCGGCAUCUCGCCGGGGACGCCGCCCCCGAAAUCUAGUGGCGGCCCUCCGAGGCGACCUCUGCGUAGUAACUUGUUCUCGCACCGGAAAGCUCAGAGCGGCCACGCCGUAAAACCCCAACUUUUUUCAGGUUGACCUCGAAUCAGGUAGGACUACC
RNAcentral lists this ribosomal RNA (583 nucleotides) under uncultured eukaryote. RNAcentral's name for it is "eukaryotic LSU rRNA". The stretch from base 212 to 365 matches the Rfam family "5.8S ribosomal RNA". The record is from RNAcentral.